RNAcentral lists this ribosomal RNA (253 nucleotides) under uncultured prokaryote. Its description in RNAcentral is "partial 16S ribosomal RNA". It matches the Rfam family "Bacterial small subunit ribosomal RNA", at positions 524 to 776 of the family's 1533-position model. The record is from RNAcentral.
GACAGAGGGGGCAAGCGUUGCUCGGAAUUACUGGGCGUAAAGGGCUCGUAGGCGGCCAACUAAGUCGGAUGUGAAAUCCCCAGGCUCAACUUGGGAACUGCAUCCGAUACUGGAUGGCUUGAAUCCGGGAGAGGGAUGCAGAAUUCCAGGUGUAGCGGUGAAAUGCGUAGGUAUCUGGAGGAAUACCGGUGGCGAAGGCGGCAUCCUGGACCGGCAUUGACGCUGAGGAGCGAAAGCCAGGGGAGCAAACGGG